Molecule: ribosomal RNA, 333 nt
Filed under: uncultured archaeon
Lineage: Archaea
Description: bacterial SSU rRNA
Rfam family: Archaeal small subunit ribosomal RNA
Source: RNAcentral
CCGGAGGUCACUGCUAUUGGGGUUCGGCUAAGCCAUGCAAGCGGAGGGCGCGGUCGCAAGAUCGUGGCCCCGCACACGGCUCAGUAACACGUAGUUAACCUACCCUUGGGACGGGGACAACGCCGGGAAACUGGCGAUAAUCCCCGAUAGGUGAGGGACGCUGGGAUGCUUCCUCGCUCAAAGCUCCGGCGCCCGAGGAUGGGACUGCGGCCUAUCAGGCUGUUGGUGGUGUGACGGACCACCAAACCUACGACGGGUACGGGCGAUGGGAGUCGGAGCCCGGAGAUGGGGACUGAGACAAGGCCCCAGGCCCUACGGGGCGCAGCAGCCGCG